GGAUGACACAGUUGCUUAUCCAACUCGAGCAAUCUUUGCUUUCCCAAUUCCUUCGUAUGCUUGGCUGGCUCAUUUGGCUUCUUGAUUUUGUAGUGUUGACCUUUCGCUGUAUGAGAAUGUUUUGUUUUUGUGCUCAAUUGUCUGCUUGUAGGAUGUCUCAAGGUUUGAUCUCCCGCACGUAUAGCCGUUGCCUUUGCAAUUUCCAUCAUCCGCCAAGCCUUCUCAAUAUCACAAGAGCUUCUGU
RNAcentral lists this unclassified non-coding RNA (244 nucleotides) under Hevea brasiliensis (rubber tree). Lineage: Eukaryota; Viridiplantae; Streptophyta; Magnoliopsida; Malpighiales; Euphorbiaceae. The record is from RNAcentral.